This 914-nucleotide ribosomal RNA is filed under the name uncultured bacterium. RNAcentral describes it as "bacterial SSU rRNA". It matches the Rfam family "Bacterial small subunit ribosomal RNA", at positions 8 to 916 of the family's 1533-position model. The record is from RNAcentral.
AGAGUUUGAUCAUGGCUCAGAUUGAACGCUGGCGGAAUGCUUUACACAUGCAAGUCGAGCGGCAGCGCGGGGCAACCUGGCGGCGAGCGGCGAACGGGUGAGUAAUACAUCGGAACAUGUCCAUUCGUGGGGGAUAGCCCGGCGAAAGCCGGAUUAAUACCGCAUACGCCCGAGAGGGGAAAGCGGGGGACUUCGCAAGAGGCCUCGCGCGAUUGGGUUGGCCGAUGUCCGAUUAGCUAGUUGGCGAGGUAAAGGCUCACCAAGGCGAUGAUCGGUAGCUGGUCUGAGAGGAUGAUCAGCCACACUGGGACUGAGACACGGCCCAGACUCCUACGGGAGGCAGCAGUGGGGAAUUUUGGACAAUGGGGGCAACCCUGAUCCAGCCAUUCCGCGUGAGUGAAGAAGGCCUUCGGGUUGUAAAGCUCUUUUGUCCGGAACGAAACGGGUAGCGUGAAUAUCGCUGCCUACUGACGGUACCGGAAGAAUAAGCACCGGCUAACUACGUGCCAGCAGCCGCGGUAAUACGUAGGGUGCGAGCGUUAAUCGGAAUUACUGGGCGUAAAGGGUGCGCAGGCGGUUUUGUAAGCCAGAUGUGAAAUCCCCGGGCUUAACCUGGGAAUGGCAUUUGGGACUGCAAGGCUAGAGUGUGGCAGAGGAGACUGGAAUUCCUGGUGUAGCAGUGAAAUGCGUAGAUAUCAGGAGGAAUACCGAUGGCGAAGGCAGGUCUCUGGGUUAACACUGACGCUCAUGCACGAAAGCGUGGGGAGCAAACAGGAUUAGAUACCCUGUAGUCCACGCCCUAAACGAUGUCGACUGGUUGUUGGGGGUUUGACACUCUCAGUAACGAAGCUAACGCGUGAAGUCGACCGCCUGGGGAGUACGGCCGCAAGGUUAAAACUCAAAGGAAUUGACGG